This 254-nucleotide ribosomal RNA is filed under the name uncultured bacterium. RNAcentral describes it as "partial 16S ribosomal RNA". It matches the Rfam family "Bacterial small subunit ribosomal RNA", at positions 524 to 776 of the family's 1533-position model. The record is from RNAcentral.
UACGGAGGGAGCAAGCGUUACUCGGAAUUAUUGGGCGUAAAGGGCGCGUAGGCGAUCUGCCAAGUCCUGUGUGAAAGCCCAAGGCUUAACCUUGGAAGUGCACAGGAGACUGGCUGGAUUUGAGUUCAGGAGAGGAAGGCAGAAUUCCCGGUGUAGCGGUGAAAUGCGUAGAGAUCGGGAGGAAUACCAGUGGCGAAGGCGGCCUUCUGGACUGACACUGACGCUGAGGCGCGAAAGCCAGGGGAGCAAACGGG